UUGUGACUUGUUAUCAAAAUUGUCAGUAUUUACAAACUCUAAGAAGACAUUAAAUGCGCACCACCAACGAAUUCAAUUGCAACAGUUGUCAACAUAAUUUACUUUUUGGAAUAAUAGCAUUUACUUUACUUCUGUUUGUUCUCUACAUGUUAUUAAAAGCGAAUAUUUAAGUAAGUUUAAAUGUUACCUGUCUGGUUCAAUGCUUUUGGCAAUAAUGCUAAGGCAUGUAAUUAAGGAGAUGGAUUAGUGGAAACAAGAAACCAGUUUGAGAAAUACUUACGUCCUACAAUGUAUCUUCCAGAAUCGGACACCUUCAAGUUUGUGAUGACUAAAAUUCCUCUUCCGUCAUCGAUGGCAUGAGCCGGGAGUCCAGCACCGUCUUUGGUCCAUGUCACUCUAAUUGGUCUAGGCCCCAACAGUGAUCGUGCACUACAGUUGAAUCUAACAGUGCUACCAACUUUGUAAAUCUCAAUUACGGGAGCUACAAUUGUUAUUUCCAUCGUAAGUGGAUGUGGAGUGGAAUAAACCGGUCCCGGUGUUGUAGUCACAUUCCCGUCUAAAAAUGCGAAAAAUCAUAUUAACAAAUGAAUAGGGAUUCUUGUUAUGUUGUUAAAUACACACAAAAUAUUAGUACCAAUGCGUGGACGACCACAUCGUUAUAUUGUUAACAAAAAUAAAAUCGUAUUUAAUAACUCCACCUACUACCAAGAACGAUGAACACUAGAAAACAAGAAGCUAACUGAUGGACUCAACUGAACAGUACCCUUUCAAAUAUGGAUAAUUAAAAAUGGAAUUUGAAAGAAUACUUGUCCAGUGUUCUACGUUUUUGAAGACAGUUCGAACCUGGAUUCACCAGUGAAGUUACCGUGCCUACAAUCGUACCGUCACUGGUCGAAAUAACACACUGUAUAUGGUGCGCGAAACAAUCAUUUACUUGAUAAUACCAGAUGGAGCUUCCAUUCUGUGAUACUUCUGAAUUGACCGCCACUCCAUUGUCACGGAAUGUGACAUUUAGUAUGUCCAUGCUCUUGUAUGUACAAUGGAAUAAAAAAUAACUGCCAA
This is a long non-coding RNA of Tribolium madens (black flour beetle), 1062 nucleotides long. RefSeq lists it as uncharacterized. NCBI's taxonomy places the organism in Eukaryota, Metazoa, Arthropoda, Insecta, Coleoptera, Tenebrionidae. The record is from RefSeq and is a predicted model, not a curated record. The transcript is spliced from 2 exons.